This 445-nucleotide ribosomal RNA is filed under the name uncultured soil bacterium. RNAcentral describes it as "bacterial SSU rRNA". It matches the Rfam family "Bacterial small subunit ribosomal RNA", at positions 26 to 518 of the family's 1533-position model. The record is from RNAcentral.
AGAGCGAACGCUGGCGGCAGGCCUAAUACAUGCAAGUCGAGCGGUCCCUUCGGGGGCAGCGGCGGACGGGUGAGUAACGCGUGGGAACGUGCCCUUUGGUACGGAACAACUGAGGGAAACUUCAGCUAAUACCGUAUGUGCCCUUCGGGGGAAAGAUUUAUCGCCAUUGGAGCGGCCCGCGUUGGAUUAGGUAGUUGGUGAGGUAAAGGCUCACCAAGCCUACGAUCCAUAGCUGGUCUGAGAGGAUGAUCAGCCACACUGGGACUGAGACACGGCCCAGACUCCUACGGGAGGCAGCAGUAGGGAAUCUUGCGCAAUGGGCGAAAGCCUGACGCAGCCAUGCCGCGUGAAUGAUGAAGGUCUUAGGAUUGUAAAAUUCUUUCACCGGGGACAUAAUGACGGUACCCGGAGAAGAAGCCCCGGCUAACUUCGUGCCAGCAGCCGC